Molecule: non-coding RNA, 865 nt
Organism: Paramuricea clavata
Lineage: Eukaryota; Metazoa; Cnidaria; Anthozoa; Malacalcyonacea; Plexauridae
Source: the annotation of a GenBank genome assembly
CUAAAUUUGUGUUUGACUUUAGGUUAUCAGUAUAUUGCGUUAAAUUCAAACUGCAUGGUAUGCAUGUGUUUUUAGUCCAUUCAUCAUUGUAUAGCUUAUCUUCUAAAGAUUGCUGGAAUCAGAUCAGUGGACAGGAAUAUGUACUAUAAGUAUAACCUCAAUAUCUCAUCUGGCAAAAUGAUGGAUCGGAGCGUGUUACCACAUUAUGCUUUCCGGAAAUAUUUCUCAAAUCACAGUGACAAUUACGGAGGAUGUUUCUGAAGUUUUGACGUCUAAUGUUUUCAGAAUAUGUGAUGAUCGUGCGUUUAGUCCUCUUCCCCAUCCUCUCUUCAUUGUGUGCAGUGUGCUCUGGUGUUGCACUCUAAAAAAUAUAAGGUUCAACGCACCUUCUGUCGCCAAAUGCACACAUCUUAAGGCGUGUUUUUUACACAGGUUAAGGUGUGUAUUUGCACGAUAAAGGUGUGUAUUUUUACAUGCACGCCUUAAGGUGUGUAUUUGCACGAUAAAGGUGUGUAAUAUACUGUUAUUCGGUCGAACGUUGUGUAUAUUCAAAAGGUGUGUAAAAUUGGGAAAGGUGUGUAUAUUCAAAAGGUGUGUAAAAUUGGGAAAGGUGUGUAUAUUCAAAAGGUGUGUAAAAUUGGGAAAGGUGUGUAUACUCAAAAGGUGUGUAGCAUAGAAAGGUGUGUAUAUUCAAAAGGUGUGUAAAAUUGGGAAAGGUGUGUAUAUUCAAAAGGUGUGUAAAAUUGGGAAAGGUGUGUAUAUUCAAAAGGUGUGUAAAAUUGGGAAAGGUGUGUAUACUCAAAAGGUGUGUAGCAUAGAAAGGUGUGUAUAUUCAAAAGGUGUGUAAAAUUGGGAAAGGUGUGUA